This 454-nucleotide ribosomal RNA is filed under the name uncultured bacterium. RNAcentral's name for it is "partial 16S ribosomal RNA". It matches the Rfam family "Bacterial small subunit ribosomal RNA", at positions 28 to 507 of the family's 1533-position model. The record is from RNAcentral.
GAUGAACGCUGACAGAAUGCUUAACACAUGCAAGUCAACUUGAACUUCGGUUUGGGUGGCGGACGGGUGAGUAACGCGUAAAGAACUUGCCUCACAGAUAGGGACAACAUUUGGAAACGAAUGCUAAUACCUGAUAUUAUGAUUAUAUGGCAUCGUAUAAUUAUGAAAGCUAUAUGCGCUGUGAGAGAGCUUUGCGUCCCAUUAGCUAGUUGGAGAGGUAACGGCUCACCAAGGCGAUGAUGGGUAGCCGGCCUGAGAGGGUGAACGGCCACAAGGGGACUGAGACACGGCCCUUACUCCUACGGGAGGCAGCAGUGGGGAAUAUUGGACAAUGGACCAAGAGUCUGAUCCAGCAAUUCUGUGUGCACGAUGAAGUUUUUCGGAAUGUAAAGUGCUUUCAGUUGGGAAGAAAAAAAUGACGGUACCAACAGAAGAAGUGACGGCUAAAUACGUG